AGGAAAGUGACGCAAUUGGUAGCGUACCGGUCUCCAAAACCGGCUGUUUAGAGUUCGAGUCUCUACUUUCCUGCCA
RNAcentral lists this transfer RNA (76 nucleotides) under Escherichia coli. RNAcentral's name for it is "tRNA-Trp". It matches the Rfam family "tRNA". Rfam says of the family: Transfer RNA (tRNA) molecules are approximately 80 nucleotides in length. Their secondary structure includes four short double-helical elements and three loops (D, anti-codon, and T loops). Lineage: Bacteria; Pseudomonadati; Pseudomonadota; Gammaproteobacteria; Enterobacterales; Enterobacteriaceae. RNAcentral also lists the same sequence under 39 other names. The record is from RNAcentral.